Oryza barthii is the source of this 208-nucleotide non-coding RNA. The record is from Rfam. NCBI's taxonomy places the organism in Eukaryota, Viridiplantae, Streptophyta, Magnoliopsida, Poales, Poaceae.
AAAAAGACAAACCCUGGGUUUCUAUGUCCAACGUUUAACUGUCUGUCUUAUAUGAAUUUUUUUUAUAAUUAGUAUUUUCAUUGUUGUUAGAUGAUAAAACAUGAUUAAUACUUUAUGCGUGACUUGUCUUUUUAAUUUUUUUUCAUAAUUUUUUCAAAUAAGACGGACGGUCAAAAGUUGGACACGAAAACCCAAGAUUUGUCUUUUU